RNAcentral lists this ribosomal RNA (715 nucleotides) under Bacillus velezensis. Its description in RNAcentral is "bacterial SSU rRNA". It matches the Rfam family "Bacterial small subunit ribosomal RNA", at positions 53 to 750 of the family's 1533-position model. The record is from RNAcentral. Lineage: Bacteria; Bacillati; Bacillota; Bacilli; Caryophanales; Bacillaceae.
ACAUGCAAGUCGAGCGGACAGAUGGGAGCUUGCUCCCUGAUGUUAGCGGCGGACGGGUGAGUAACACGUGGGUAACCUGCCUGUAAGACUGGGAUAACUCCGGGAAACCGGGGCUAAUACCGGAUGGUUGUUUGAACCGCAUGGUUCAGACAUAAAAGGUGGCUUCGGCUACCACUUACAGAUGGACCCGCGGCGCAUUAGCUAGUUGGUGAGGUAACGGCUCACCAAGGCGACGAUGCGUAGCCGACCUGAGAGGGUGAUCGGCCACACUGGGACUGAGACACGGCCCAGACUCCUACGGGAGGCAGCAGUAGGGAAUCUUCCGCAAUGGACGAAAGUCUGACGGAGCAACGCCGCGUGAGUGAUGAAGGUUUUCGGAUCGUAAAGCUCUGUUGUUAGGGAAGAACAAGUGCCGUUCAAAUAGGGCGGCACCUUGACGGUACCUAACCAGAAAGCCACGGCUAACUACGUGCCAGCAGCCGCGGUAAUACGUAGGUGGCAAGCGUUGUCCGGAAUUAUUGGGCGUAAAGGGCUCGCAGGCGGUUUCUUAAGUCUGAUGUGAAAGCCCCCGGCUCAACCGGGGAGGGUCAUUGGAAACUGGGGAACUUGAGUGCAGAAGAGGAGAGUGGAAUUCCACGUGUAGCGGUGAAAUGCGUAGAGAUGUGGAGGAACACCAGUGGCGAAGGCGACUCUCUGGUCUGUAACUGACGCUGAG